AGCAUGGUGUAGUAGGUUAAGCACUGGAUUAUAACUCCGGAGACCAGGGUUCAAUUCCUAGCUGUGCCA
This is a non-coding RNA of Phrynosoma platyrhinos (Desert horned lizard), 69 nucleotides long. NCBI's taxonomy places the organism in Eukaryota, Metazoa, Chordata, Lepidosauria, Squamata, Phrynosomatidae. The record is from the annotation of a GenBank genome assembly.